AACGCAUAUUGCACUCUGUGGUAUUCCGCAGAGUAUGCUUGUUUGAGUGUCAGUAUCUAAUCUCAAACCCACCCGGGUUUGGACUUGAGUGUCCAGCUGUCAAAGGCUGGUCGCUUUAAACUAAUUGGUGAGCAGUUUAUGUAUGGUCGCUUGUCGAUUUGCUCUGACUUGACAAGAAUCUCCCUUGGGAGUUCAAGUAAAGUUAUCGAGUCGACGAUGAACUUUGUGAACUGUUCUACCUCAACCGCGAUUUACUUCGCAACCCUGGGUUCUUGUUACAUCCUUUGGGAGAAAGAACGCUUGUACUUUGACCUCAAAUCAGGUAGGACUACCCGCUGAACUUAA
This 345-nucleotide unclassified non-coding RNA is filed under the name uncultured soil eukaryote. RNAcentral's name for it is "sequence contains 5.8S rRNA gene, ITS2, 28S rRNA gene". The stretch from base 1 to 52 matches the Rfam family "5.8S ribosomal RNA", at positions 103 to 154 of the family's 154-position model. The record is from RNAcentral.